UUUAUUUCAUGGAACAGCUUUAUCUAGUUUCUUGUCUUGGCAAUUUUCCAUGCUUUGACUUUCUAUAUUUUUCUUCUUUAUCAGUGUCCUUAUGCUACCUUUUCCUAUGCGCAUCUUGGGACUCUUCCUCAUACCCAAGUAGAUCACCGGCUAUUAUUCCCAACAUUUCCUUCCCUAUCAGCCACUAAGAAAUCAAGAUCUUCAUAUCAUUCUGCACAGAGAGCUUCUAGAUAGCUGGAAGUAGUCUUCUGCUAUAAACAAACUUUUUUUAAAUAAGUCGGCUAUAACUGAACCUUUGUCUUACCUUCCUCCAUCAUGUUUGUUUUUCUGUCACCCACCC
This 340-nucleotide long non-coding RNA is filed under the name Nicotiana benthamiana. RNAcentral describes it as "long non-coding RNA (NBEN_LNC002638)". Lineage: Eukaryota; Viridiplantae; Streptophyta; Magnoliopsida; Solanales; Solanaceae. The record is from RNAcentral.